RNAcentral lists this long non-coding RNA (2353 nucleotides) under Homo sapiens (human). Its description in RNAcentral is "HSALNT0088384". Lineage: Eukaryota; Metazoa; Chordata; Mammalia; Primates; Hominidae. The record is from RNAcentral.
AGAGGCGUGAGUGGGUAAUUCUGAAAGUAAUUUUUGAAACCACAUUCCACAGGAACUUGCAAUAGGAAUUGAACUUUGAGAACCACCCACCUCAACCACUCCUAGUACCAGUCUCCAGGAUUCUUGCCCUGACUUGGACAUUUGUGGGAUUUAUGGUUAAGGGAGAUCACUUGGCCAUAAAUCCCCGGUGAGGAAUGAUGAUGGUCCUCCCUCCCUACCCCCAAAAUUAAAGGCGCGAGAGCAGGACUCCCUGAAGGGAAACGGCCACCAUUUCUGCGAGGUCUGCGCAAACCUUACCAUGUAUGUGCCACCGUGAAACGCCGCUGUUUGGGGAUGUUGCUGCUGAGAAGCAUUCUGCGCAGAAGCCUGGGGGAAUUUCUCGGAGAGAUCACUGGAGAGAGCUUGGGAGAAACCGAUUUCCUCGCUGUCUUGGACUUCUCAUGCUGCAACAGGUUUUCUCGCAAGGAUUUCACAAGGUCUUCGUUCAGCCACGGGUUUGGACAAUGCGGAUUAUCCACUUCAGCUGGAAAAAUCCAAGAAUGAAUGAAAGAGCUUGUAGAUAGGCCCAGACAGUGGGCAGCAUGGCUCUUCUCCAGCCUGGGACACAGCUCAUCACUCAGGGUGGAUCCUGGAGAGAAGCUGCCUGAGUUCAGCCUUUGCCUAUCCCAGUACUCACUGUGUGCACCCAGAGGAGCUUCUGUGUAUCUGUGAGACCCUGUUUCCUCAUCUGCAAUACCAGGACUCAUAUCCUAGCGGGGCUCUGAAAACUAGAUCAGCUAAUGUAAGGCUUGGCCAUGUAUUUUCUCAAGAAUCGUUGCUGUGAAAGAGCCAGUGAAGUCACAGAGGGUAAAGUCAAUGGUCAACCUUCCUGAUUAAUGAAUAUUGAUUGAGCAUUCACCAUUUAAUAGUUAGCUCCUUCUAAGUCUAAUCGUUUUUAGUUUCUCCUGACACCUGUCAUGUAAGAGGCUCUAUAUGUGAGGAUAGACUUAGGGGGCAGUUGGUUCCUCUUUUUGGACACAGAACAGGAAGAAUAAAGAGAUCUCAGAAGGAAAAGGAAAGUGGGAGGAGGCUGGGUCUGUGGGUUCCCCGGUGGAUCACGCUGAAAGAAUACCUGGCAGACACUUAAUCUCUGCGGCAAAUGCAUGAAAGUAGAAGGAUGAAGCCAACUUUCCAAAAACUUUUAUGAAAUUACUUCAGUGAGAAAACCUAUUAAAUAAAUUACAGCCAUUCUAUAAAAAUAGAAUUCUAUGUUACUUCUAUAUAUAUACUUCUACUAUAUAUACUUGUACUAUAUUACAGUAGAAAUCAGUCAAUCCAAUCCCCUAUUGGGCAGAAGGGAAACUUGCCUCGGACCACACUGUCGGCUGGGGUCCUUAGCACGGUACUAGGUCUCCACCUCCAUGCACUACCCUGGUUCAGAGCUGGUGCUAUGGGUUGAAUUGUGUCCCUGCAAAAAUAGGCUGAAGUUCCAACCCCAGUACCUCAGAAAGGGACUUUGCUUGGAAAUAGGGUCUUUAGAGAGGUAAUCGAGUUAAAAUAAGGUCAUUAGAGUGGGCCUUAUCUGAUGUGAGGGGAAUUCUUAUAAAAUGGGGAAAUGCAGACACACACAUAUGCAGGAGGAAGGCACUAUGAAGAAACAAAGAGAGAAGACGGCUAUCCAAGGAGAGAGGCCUGGAACAAAUCCUUGCCUCACGGUUCUCAGAAGGAAACAACCUUGACAACACAUUACUUUUGGAUUUCUGGCCUCCAGAACUGUGAGACAAUGCAUUUUGGCUGUUGUAAGCCACCUAGGUUGUGAUACUUCCUUACAGCAGCCCUAGGAAAUGAAUACAGCUGGGGACCAGGCUUUUAGUCAAAAGAUCAGGGAGGAAGUCUGGUGUCUUGGGAGAAAUUUCUAGAUUAUAGGAGUCACUGAAUAUCGUAACUUUGAAAAAUCCAUUUUGAAUCUCACCAGAAACACAAAAGCCUGUAGAAAUCCAAUUAUACAAAUUUACAGUCUAGAAAAGGAAAAAAAAUGAAAUUACUCUUCAUGCACAUUUAAGCAGAGUUUAGGACUGGAAAAUAAACAAGGCUUUGGUAACUGGGGAGUGCAGUGCUAACAACACAGUUGCAGGUAUGUGGCUGUGUGGGUUUGAGCUUGGCUCUGCCUUUUACCAACUCCGUGACCUUCAGUCACUGCCCCCACUGUCUUCAGCUUUCUCCAAAAAGAGUGUUGUGUGUCCUCUUGGAGGCCAUACCCUGGGGUGCUCAGCACAGGGUUUCACACACAGUGACUAUUAACUGGAUUUUAGCUCCUAUUAUAAUUACUAAUAGCAGAUAAUUGCCUUAUUAAAAAAAUUAAAGGCAAGCCCCC